GGACUUUGGGAAGAGCAACUAUUUGAGGAUAGUUAGUCCAGGCGAGAGGAGCUAGUUUUUGCAACAACAAAAAACCUCAGGGCCACCUUAGAUGCUUUGAGGGAAGUGGCUUGCCUUCUCCCUUGUGGGCAUCAUCACAAGAAGGGAAUCUCCCAGUUUUGGAGGAUCUUUUGACAAGAUGCACUCUCCAUGAGAGGUUUCUGAAAGCAAGUUUAGCUGCCUGGUGCCCCCAAUGCAGUGUAGAGAUAGAAAGUGUUGAGGAAAUAACUCUAAUCCAUUACCUGACCUUCUUUUCUUCCCUAGAUUUCAAAGGCUGUGCAGGCUGCAGGCCUCCUUCUGUGACCCACCAAAACAUGAUGCCCUGGUCUAGGAGGAGGAGGAGGAGGAGGAGGAAUUAGUGGCUGUGCCUCCCAAAAAAGGGAACUGGUAGUCAAAAUCAGAGUAAUCCAUGUUUGACGCAAGGCUCAGGGGAUGGAUGUCACUAAGGUAAGAGAUCACCUGUGUUCAUGAGAAACAGUGAGGCCAGAGAGAAUCUGGCUCUCUGGGGAGGAAGGAGGCAGAUCACUGAUUCAAGAAGACUUCAGGGACAUCUCUUUUGAAGCAGAGAGAGAACCAUUUCUCUUUACUUCUGUCCUUUUCCAUUAUGGUGUAGUGCCCACUGCAGUCUCUCAGGUUUGCAGGUGUGCCCAUCGGUUCAAAGGGUUGGCAACCCAAGUUAGACUGCUGGACCAGGACUGGGGGACCAGGGUUCAAAUCCCCCCUCACCCAUAGAACUGAAUGGGUGGCCUUGGGUGCUCACUGCCUCUAGGCCUACCUCACGGAGCUGUUGUGAGGAUGGGAUGAGGGGAGGGGACUCACGUAAGCCACCCUGAGAUCCUUGCAGGGAAAAGGGGAUGUCAAUGGAAUAAUAAAUGCAUAGUGAAUGAGAAAAAUAAGAAUCUUUUCUUUUUUCUUCCAGGCAGAAAACAAUAGGCAGCAUCAAUAGGAAGUCCAGCAUCUCCAGUCCAGCUCCCCUCCAAAAAGACCCAUUUUCCCCCUUCCCCACA
Molecule: non-coding RNA, 1046 nt
Organism: Podarcis lilfordi (Lilford's wall lizard)
Lineage: Eukaryota; Metazoa; Chordata; Lepidosauria; Squamata; Lacertidae
Source: the annotation of a GenBank genome assembly